Molecule: ribosomal RNA, 331 nt
Filed under: Siphonaria sp. UF 368376
Lineage: Eukaryota; Metazoa; Mollusca; Gastropoda; Siphonariida; Siphonariidae
Also listed under: 1 other name
Description: partial 12S ribosomal RNA
Source: RNAcentral
UUGAGCUCAACUAUUUCCCUAAGUAGUAAGACUUUAAAGUUAAAACUUAAAGAACAUGGCGGCUUAAAUUAUUCAGGGGAACUUACUACAUAAACGAUGAUCCACGAGUCCAUAUUCCUAUUUUUACAGCUUAUAUACCGCCGUUUAGUGUUUAAUUAAGUUGAAUACGAACAAAAAAUCCUUUUUAAAAUCAGGUCAUGGUGUAGCAAAUAAAUAGGUGUAAGCGAGUUACAAUAAAUUUUUUUUUCAGACAUAGUUCUAUAAACUCUAUUAAAGUUGGACUUGAAAGUAAAAUUUAACAAUAAUAAAAUUUGGAUUUUAUUUUAAGUGU